UGCAGUCGACUUGGCCGCGAUGGUCUC
This 27-nucleotide small RNA is filed under the name Bombyx mori (domestic silkworm). RNAcentral's name for it is "piRNA piR-bmo-1328980". The record is from RNAcentral. Lineage: Eukaryota; Metazoa; Arthropoda; Insecta; Lepidoptera; Bombycidae.